This 675-nucleotide unclassified non-coding RNA is filed under the name Toloxis imponderosa. Its description in RNAcentral is "sequence contains ITS1, 5.8S rRNA gene, ITS2". The stretch from base 283 to 434 matches the Rfam family "5.8S ribosomal RNA". The record is from RNAcentral. Lineage: Eukaryota; Viridiplantae; Streptophyta; Bryopsida; Hypnales; Meteoriaceae.
CGGCGAACGAACACAUUGUCCCCUCUUCGGUGGGUCGUGGCGCCUCGCGGCGUCGCGGCCGGCCGUCUCCCCUCGUCGCGAACUCUCUCGAGGCGCGGCGUGGGGUUUCCACGAUGCCCCACCUUGACCGAAUGACUGAGUCCCGAACAUUUGCUUGGAUACGGAAGUGGCGAGUGUCGUUCCGUUUCCCUUUCGGGAGCGACUUCGCGUCGCUUGCGAAGGGGGGUCGGCGCGCGCUGGUCAUACCUUCCUCAUGGCGAGUUGUGAAACGUGACCCGAAACAACUCUCAGCAACGGAUAUCUUGGCUCUUGCAACGAUGAAGAACGCAGCGAAAUGCGAUACGUAGUGUGAAUUGCAGAAUUCCGCGAAUCAUCGAGUCUUUGAACGCAAGUUGCGCCCGAGGCUUGCCGAGGGCAUUUCCGCUAGAGCGUCACCGCGCCCCCACCGACCCGCCCCCAGGGGGGUCGAGUGGAAUUGGCCGUCCCGGUCUCGGCCUUCGCGCCGAGUGAGUGAGGGGUCGGCUGAAAUGGAUGGAAUUGGGCCGCCGUGGUGACGCAGUCCGCGAUCGGGUGUUUUUUCGGUGGCCUCCUCCCGCGGGAGGAGGGCCGUGAAUUUUUCUAAGUGCGUGGCUGCGUCCCCCAGUUGGUUGGUUACCUCGUGCAGGUCUUGCGCGC